This is a long non-coding RNA of Solanum pennellii, 3012 nucleotides long. RefSeq lists it as uncharacterized. NCBI's taxonomy places the organism in Eukaryota, Viridiplantae, Streptophyta, Magnoliopsida, Solanales, Solanaceae. The transcript has 2 exons. The record is from RefSeq and is a predicted model, not a curated record.
CAACCUACUCCAAUUUCCUUUCGAACCCCAGCCUACAAUAACAUACUUACAACAUUCAGCAUUUUCCAGACCCCUACCCUCCCAAAUUACUCUCGACCCGGCCCAAAACCUACUCAAAAUUCAAAAUCCCAGCAGCAACGCGUGAACGCUUCAACCGACUAACCUUCGUUUCUUCUUCUUUCUCACGCACAAUCAGAACCCAGUGAACUUAGAAUCACAAACCAAACCAGGCGCGAACCAGCAGCAAAUCGCAGCAGUAGUACGCAGAAAUCCAGUCCAGAAUCGCGCCCCCAGUCCAGUGAGAAUGAGCCCAAUAGCUGAGGGGAGGAGGUUUUUUGAAUCGGGAGAGUACCCCAAAAGGUUUGGAAAAUCUUGGUUCAAUAGUUGAAAUUUUUGUGGCUUUGUGGUUGUUGCAAUUGAAAGAGGUGGAGAAAUCAUCUUCACAACUCGUUGUCCCGGUUCACUGCUCAAGAUCAGGUAAUUUCCCUUCUACGUUUCCUUGUAUUUUCACAUUUGUUUUCCUUGCUUGUUGUUGCAAUGUGGUAGCUAAGUUUGUAUAGAUUCAGCAUUUUAGGUUGAUUAGUAUUUAGCAGUUUUUGCCUUCCUUAUGCCUUCCUCUCUGUUAAUUUAAUUUCAGCAUUUUUCUAUCGUCUUAGAAUAAGUUUGAUCAGUGUUGAAUGGCAUUAGAGUUGUGUUUUUGUGUUCAAGCAUUUCUAGCUUUUAGGUUGUAGUAUGUAGCUUGCAUUCAUUUUGAUUUGGAAAGCUUUCGAAAGUACUUAGUUUCUCUUGAUUGUCUCAUCAAUCUAAGUUGUAACAAAAUUUCAAAUUUGGAGUUGUACUUUCCCAUUCAUUAUCAGUGAAAACCUUAAUCUCUUCAUCUAAUCUCUUCACAUGUAUAAAAAUGUUGUGCUCAGUUUCAUUAUAGCCAGCUAAGUGAUCCAAUGUGGGCUUGAAAUGUGUUUAUUUUGGUUAUAUCAUAUCUAUUUAAGUUCCAGUUAGCGAAUUUGCUUCAAGCUGUCUUAUUUCCAAUUGUUAUCGGCUCCUAGUUGUUGCCUGUCUCCCUGUUUUUGAGUUUCCUGCCUUGAUUUCCAUGUGAAAAAUAUAGGAAAUAUGUUGAAGUUUGGUUCCCUCUCUUUGGUUGUUCGGGACUUCGCCAUUAUUUAAUCAACUUAAAUCACAUCGAUUACAUCAUCUAGCUUCUCUUUGUUAUCUCUGAUUUAAUGUGAAAUGUUUAUUAAAAUUUCAUAUUCAACACCACUUGAAUAUUUUUCUUAUAGUUAAAAGUUAUCCUUGAUUAAGCACGAAAACUAUUUUCCUUCCUUUCGUUUGUUUAACAACCUAUUUGUAAUCCCUGAUUUAAUGUGAAUAUAGAAUAAUCAUAUCCAUUUUAUUUUUAUUUUUUGUAUUUGUGUUCAACUUCCAAUAUGUUCACCUGCAAUCUGAAUUUACUAUUUCUUGCAUGAAUAUGUCUCAAUAUUGUUUGAGUUAUAGCUUUGUUUUGUGAUUAGGAGAUAAGUUUUAAUUCAUCACUUUCUAAUUAAUGGUGAGUUGAUAUUUGUCAAGUUUUUAGUUCACUGUUGUUUAGCAUGGUUUCAUUUUCCUGUUGUUUCAAGGUGAUUAGAACCUUUUUUCCACUUACAUAACAAGUUUUUUUUCGAUUUUUUUGUCUAGACUUCUAUUUGAUUAAACUAAGAGUCUAGUCUUUUCCUAGCCUAAGUUAAAUUUCCAGAUUUUAAGUCAUGUCUUGUUUUAGUAUUAACUCAUAAUUUGUACAUGCACCUAUGAAUUUGAAGUUUGAUAUUUGGAGUCAUGUUGAUCUUGUAGUAGCCAUUAUAAGUUUCUCAUCCUUGCAUAAUUCAGUUUAGAUGUGGAGACUUAUGCCUUAAGUUUUUAAUUUAUUUUUUCUGUUGUCAGUUACGUUACUUAGAAGUUAAACCGGUUUGUUAACAAAAUUUAACUUUGCCUUUGUGUAUAUGUGCAUUUGUUACAUGCACAUUUGAGAUGCAACUUUUAAUCUAAUUCUUUAAUUGUCAUUUUUAGCACUCCAUGUGUUUAAAUAUCAAAACAAAUGUGGGACACCUUUCCUAAAUUUUGUAUCUAUUUUAUUCCUUUUGCCAUGUGGUACCAACAAUGUUGAUUGUUGUUUAAAUGUCAUUUAUGAGGUGACCAACUAUUAUGAAGUAACUAAUUGAUUAUCAUCUCUUUAUUCACCAUGAGAUUCCCAUUGCUUUUAUGUUAUAAUUUCAUUUGUAUUAUGAUUAGUUCUAGUUUGUUAGGCAGUAGCUCUUUGGUAAUAAUGGUUUGUUGUUUAAAUUGUGUUGAAUGACAAAUUGUUCAAUUGAUUAUCCUUGAGCUUUGUAUCUGAGUUUAUUACUGAAUUCGUUCAUUUACUAAUCCUUCUUUCCUCAUUUUCUUUGCAUGAACUCACUCGUUUGAGUCUAUUCGGACUUCCCAUUCCCUUGCGUUCUCUUCUUUUUGAGUCAAACAUUUGCCAAGUUAUGAAAGGAAAAUUGAUAUAUUGGGUUAAAACCUUAUAAAUCAGUAGUUGCAGUAGUCCCAAAGGGACUAAAAUUGGGAAUUUUGGACUACAAAAAUUCCAAUUCAUACAAUAACAGGUUGCAGCAAUACCAAAGGACUAAAACGAAGAGAUUUUGGACUUUGAAAGUUCAUUUUGAAGAACAGUAGUCACACAGGACAAAAAAUGGGAAUUUAUUAGACUUUGGAGUUCAAUUUGAUCGCAGCAGCAGCAAAAAGCAUUUAGGCCAAGGGCCUAAAUUCUUGCUAUUUACUAUCUUGAUUUAUGUCCUUAAUUUAUUUUGGAAAUGCUAACUUUUUUUUUCGAUUAAGUCAUCUGCAGCACCCUAAAGUUGUCUGCAUAUUUAAUUUGAACACCUGAACUGAGACUUGUACCUAUUGAACACCUCUAGUAGUUUGAAUUGAUACCACUUAAGCACGUUUUGCCUACAUGGCACUUUGAAUGUGAUUCACCGCUAAUGAGAGCGUGAAAACAUA